Non-coding RNA from Vicia faba (fava bean), 237 nucleotides. NCBI's taxonomy places the organism in Eukaryota, Viridiplantae, Streptophyta, Magnoliopsida, Fabales, Fabaceae. The record is from the annotation of a GenBank genome assembly.
AUGAAACCCAUCACCACAAUUGACACAAGAGUCAUCACUGCUCGGUAUUGCACCAGCCGGGAAUCGAACCCGGGUCUGUACCGUGGCAGGGCUCUGCAAUCCAUGAAACCCGCCAUAACCGUUCAAUGCUCAUAUCGUCUUCUAGUGAAGCAAGAAAGCAAUGAGCUCAUGUUCAAACGCCAUGACGGGCAAACAGUCAUCUUAGUGACACCCGUCAUGGACCCAAAUUGCAAAUGA